GGUGAAUAACUAACCAUUUGACAGGCUUAGCCACAAAAGCUUAGGCAUACAUGCUGUCAGGCUCAGCUAAUAUAAGUGUUCAUGAUGCAGAUGUGCAUUCAUAAGCAUAUACUAGAAAGCAGAAACAAAUUACAAAAGAAUAAUACCUUGUGGUCAAAUAUACCAGAGGGCCUCAAGUGUUUUGGUCGAGUAGCCUUAUAGACAGUUGGACAAGUUGUACAGUAAGGAUCAUUGCACAUCCCCAAUUGACCAGAUCUCAGUAAAUGUCCGUUUUUUGCAGCAUACUCGUCAUUCCACUCACUCUCGUUUGUUGUAUUAGUAUAAGGAAACUUUUCUGCUGUAGUUUGAGUUUCUGCUGCUUCUUGAUCUGUCACACCUUGAGGUAGCCGCAGAACAUUAUCAGGCCUGCCCUGGUUAGCAUAUAACGGACCACUCAUAGCUAAGAAUGGCGUUUUUGUGUGAGUCCUUAAGGGACCAGUAUGGCCUACAAGGUUAACUUCAUCCCUUUCAUAUGAGUCCAUAGAGUUCAUAGGAAUGGAAAUUGAUGCGCUCCGGGUCCUGGAUAUAAAUCUCUCAAUCUGUAAUGCCAAGUGCUCAUUUGAUGAUUGUGGAUGAGUAUCCGAAAGCAUAGGUACCUCAUCUCUUUCAUCAUCAGCCAUUUCUUAUAAACUAAAGAGUAAAGACCUACAAAAAGGAAAUAGAAAACAAAACUAGUCUCGUUAAGCUUCAGCUGGAUAGUUCAGUUUGUUUGACAGAAGCAUUCUAGUCUCAGCUAAGCUCCACUUGGGAAAAAAAAAACUAUUUGAUUAAGUUAAGAACAGAAAACAAUAUCAAUUGCAAUUUAGUAAUAUCAAUUCCCAUUUUGUUUCCCUACUUUUGAACAUAAAUUUUCAACUGUAAUCACAAGACAUAUGCAUUAUAUUCCUACUUGUGCUUACAAAACAUUGAAGAAAUCAUUACAUACACAAAAUGUAAGGCUUAAGAUUGAACUGGACAGAAAUAGAAUGUGAAGAACCCAUGAAUUCCAGGAAAGAAAGACAUCUCCUUGACUUUGUAACUGACCUGAAUUCCGAAGCAAAAUGGUUGAAGCUAAGCUGAAACAGAAAGAUGCUCCAAAUGGGUCACAAAGUGAAAACUCAGAAAUUCUGAAAGAGGCAGGCUCUAUCGUUCAGGGAGGAGAGUGAGAAUUAAAAACGAGGCCGGCGAAGACUAAAAGCGUAGACUACUGACCAAUAAGACUUGGAAGAGUCAGUGAAGUUGCAACCUUUGGAUUAUUGUAAGCAAAUUGACGAACGUAUAAAAGGGAGUGCUUGACUCUCUCUCUCUCUCUCUCUCUCUCUCUCUCUCUCUCCCUCUCUCUGUCAUUGGGGGAGAGAUGGACAGUAUCUACCAGAACCAGACAAAAGCCGUAACUGUUGGUUUAAUCUUUCUUAAUUCACUUCAGUGUUGGGGUUGUCUUGUCUUGUUCGGUUGGUCGGUUUGACAGUUAAGACGGACAGAAUCUUCGUUCCAAUGCUAGAGCGGUAGAGCCUGCUGCUUCUUGUUCUUGAUAUUACCCAUGACUUUCACAAUUUACAAGACUUUGACUUCUUCUUCUUCUACCUCUGGCUCGUUCAGGUCAACAUUCUGGGCUUGUUCUUCUGUUCGGACCUCGGACAUGCUCCGUUCAAGCCAAAUCUCCGAUCCAAAGUAGGGAGGUGGUACAGAUGAAUCAUUUUCUAAGUAUUCCCAAAGCAUGGCAUUGUGUCAUUAUUGAAGCUUGAAAGUGAAGCCAACCACGGUGGUACCAAAAGCUAAUUAAAAUUAUCUCUAUCCGAACUCUGAAGGGAAAAAAUAAGUUACAAGUUACGAGUACUGCUUUGUCUCUUUGUCUCUUUGAUCAAAAGUAUGGAGAAUAAUCCAUAUUUCACUUGCAUUGUCAAGCACAUUACAUAUCCAUUUAGCCCAAAAAAGAAGAAGUUGACACUAUGCUUGACAAUGCACAUGUGAAAUAUGGAUGAUUCUCAUACCAUUGUGAUCAGAGAAACAAAGUUAAUACAAAGUUAUUAUUGAUAAUAAUUUUGUGUGUGUGUAUGUGUCAAAGUACCUAAGUUUUAGUUGUGCAAUCAUCCUUGAUACCCACUUAUGUGUCCUAUUGGACUACCCCACCACCACGUGGUAGGAGUGUCCUAUCUAAGAAUCUCUCCUUGCAACAAAGUUGAAAGUUGUGUUAAAUAAAAAGUACAACAUGUUCUAUGCGUGCACUUGCACCACUGAUGUGUAAGACUUUAAAUCAUCGUAUGAGAAAAUCGAAUGAAAACUAGAGAUCAUAAAUUUCUUCUUUUCAUUUUUAUUUUUAAUCCAAUCAAAUUACACGUCCAUAAUAAGAAUACAUCUUCUUCGAUCUCGAGUUCUCACCUCCUAAGUUGGAAACACUUUUUGAGACUAUUUUUUUUUUUUUUCUAAUUUUGUUAACAGUAUUAGAAUAUAUGUAUGUAGUGCAACGUAGAUGACCGGAUAAAAAAUAUUGCAUUUUAAUUGCUCGGUUCACUUACAUCUUGAUACGUAGAAGAAUUUUUGAAUAAAAAGUACAGGCCCGCACUUGAGGUGAGAUUAAGGAGGCCAUAGGCCAAUAGCCUCAUGCACCAAUACCUAGGAGCUCAAAAUACACACACAUAAAAAUUUCAGAAAAUCACAUUUGUUUUUUCUUCUUUCUCGCUUUGGUCAAAAUUAUAGCCGCAAGCAUUAAGAAACUCAACAUUCAGAAGCAUGCAAAUUAUGUCUGAAUUCUAAAGGACAUGGUUGUUCAAUUUCUCUCUCCGCGACUUAUCCUCUAAAAAUUCGCUCAAAAGGCUUUUCAGUGUCUCUGUGGCUCUCUCCCUCUCCAAACCCUUCAGAUCUCUAGUCGAUCUCUUUUAGUGCUUCUUGACAUUGCCCAAAUUUUGUUUUAUUUUGUUCUAAAAAUCAGAUUGUUAUUCUGUAAUUUGUUUUUGGAGAAGGAGGAAGCUGCAAGUGGAGACAUGCUUCCUAUAAGAAAAUUAUAUAUAUUUUUUCGUAUGACCAUCACAGGGCAUUAUUCUUGGUUCCGCAUUGGGUUUCCAAGUCUCUGGUACAGCCUGAUCAAAACCGAAAAAAAGAAAAAGAAAAACGAAAAGUAACGUCGGCUGUUUUCCUGGGCUGAUACACCAUAUGACAGUCACCUUAGCAUGGCCUUUGGUCCUAAGAAACAAAUGUUCCGAGCGAGUUACCGGUCAAUCGAAAACCCUAGUAUACAAGUCUCCAUGAUGCUAAAAGGUACGAGGUAAAAUUGAAGUGUGUUUCUAGUUUUCUAGGGUGCAGGUGAACUCGUGGAAAUGCAUGAGCAGAAGACUUUGGAGGGCUAUGAAUUCUGGGUAGCUAUAUUCAACAUUAUCCAGAAUGAUGUUAUUUAGUUUAUGUAUUUUCGUUAUGAAAGGGACUCAGUGGGACUGUUUCGUUAUGAAUGGUGUUGGAAUGAGUCGUAAUGUAUACUUGACUUCCAUAUGGGUUAACUACUGCCUAAGUUUUUUAAUAGGCCUGGUUAAUCACGUCUAAAACCAACUCGAUCUUUCUUCUUUUUGUUUCUACCUCUCAUUUUCCUCCUAUAAACUCACAGAAUUCAUAGCUCACUGAGCUGAGCUCAUACAUAACGUUAGAAUGCUGGAUCACCUUAAUUAUAAAACACCUUAAGGUUUCAACUUAAAACGCAAAUACAGACCCUAAUUAAGAUAAGGCAGAGAUGGAGAGGGUCAAUAUAUUAGCUUGCCUCUAUAGAAUUGGUACGGAAUAUACCCAAGUCUUUACCGGCUUUUGAAUACCAAGGAGUUAUUUAUUCGAAGUUACUACCUGCUUCCAUAGACAUGGCCAAUCCAAGACCAGUUCAGAUGAAUUUCUCUCCAUCUCUUCCAUCUAUAAAUAGGCAUCUGCUCCAUACAAGAUCUUCAUCCACCUCCAGUUCUCUCUUAUACAGAACUAUAACAUAUACUGAGUAUUGCGAUCACGAUGAUGAAAGGUGCUCAUUUCCCUGCUACAACUGCUGCUUUUGCCCUACUGGCAUUGGCAACCUUCCACCUUGUCUCUGCCUCUGAUCCUAGUUCUCUCCAAGAUUUCUGUGUAGCACUUAAGAACACUGAUGGUAUAUACUAUAUCGUACUGUGGUCACUAUAUUGCUUCCAAUAUAUGUUUUAUCUAGGAUUAAGUUUUGUAUUUUCAUGAAUGCAUGCAUAUGUUCUGAUAUGGUGUACGGUCCUUUGUAUACUGCAGUGUUUGUGAAUGGGAAAUUCUGCAAGGACCCAAAGCUUGUAACAGAAGACGAUUUCUUCUUUGACGGGCUCCGGAUGCCCGGAAACACAUCAAAUGCGGUUGGUUCCAAGGUCACCCCGGCGAAUGUGGAGCAAAUAGCAGGGCUGAACACUCUUGGGAUAUCCCUUGCUCGCAUAGACUAUGCACCAAAUGGCGGACUAAACCCUCCUCACACCCACCCUCGGGCCUCGGAGUUUCUUGUGGUCAUGGAAGGCACUCUCGUACGUUGGGCUUCGUCACAUCCAACUCUGACAACGGCAACAAGCUAUUCACCAAAGUGUUGUACCCUGGAGAUGUGUUUGUCUUCCCGGUUGGUCUUAUUCACUUCCAGUUCAACAUCGGAAAGGUCAAUGCCGUGGCCAUUGCCGGUCUUAGCAGCCAGAACCCAGGUGUCAUCACCAUAGCCAACGCCGUUUUCGGCUCCAAACCUCCGAUCAAGCUUGAUGUUCUCACCAAGGCCUUCCAAGUUGAAAGCAAUGUCGUUGAGUAUCUCCAGAACCAGUUCUGGUAUGACAACAACUGAGAACAUGCUAACAAUUGUAUCACGUACGAUACGAUGACCUUAUUUUAUCAUACAACACAUAAUCUAAGCUUUUGUAAAAAUAAGAUGGUAGUUGCUUAUAUGUAAUGUACCUCUUCCUUGAUCAGUGGAUUAUUGGAAUUUGAUUAUUAAUAAAUACUCGCAUCAUAUAAAGCGUUUUUGCGUCCUGUCUCUAAACCUCUUACAAUUUAAACAAUUCAUCACGAAGAGUUGGCCGUAAAUUUAGAAUUUAUCCUACAAAAAGCACAGAAGUACUUCUACCAAAGAUAAUCAAAUGAAAGGCUUCUAUAAGAAUUCUCAUUUAAUUGAGAUAGAUCAAAUCCCCAAACUGAGAACGGUUUUUACAGAUUCUGUAAGAUAUUUACAAUAUUAUCAUGAGGCUGCUAAACUGAUAACACUACACUACCUUUCUUUAGUAACACUACAGUACCUUUCCAAAUCCCUGAAAGAGUUGCAUUAUAUUCUAAGGCACUCACAUGCAUCCUGGAAGGAAAGACUAUAUGUACAUGUAUAUGUAACAAAAGAAAAAUAAAGAAAAAGAGAAGCCCUGAAGGUUGAUCACUCUUUCUGCCUACCUGAUCGAGGUUAGUUGUUACGUUGAAUGUAGAUGAGCUUAAUGGGGAAAUGUCGACUAGUUUAAUUACAAGUUGUUAAAAUGAGUGAAGAUUUCAGUAGUGAUAGAUUCAUAUUUCAUACAUUUUUAUACCCUUAGAUGCAGGAUUAUAUGCUUAGUUCUUGUCAAUUGUGAGUAAUUUACUUGUUAUGUUUUGUAGGUCAAGUUGGAGAACAAGAGAAUUUGGAGCUAAGUGAUCCAGAAACUACCCUGCUGUGCGUCAACUUUGAGGAUUAAGCUGUACCUGCUCACAAGAAAUCUGGAGGCGAGCCAUACACCAUUGGAAAUUUACGGAUGUUAGCUUUCUGAGGAAUUUUACGGAAGUGGAUUUGCAUUUUUCUAGAGCAAGUUAUGAAGGUUUCAGUGAACGCAGCGCGUGGAGGCAGAUUCUGACGAAUUUUGUGUUUAUUCUCAUGAUUCCAAUUUGUAAAACUUAAGUCCAUCAAUUUUUAUACUACAAGGAAAGGGGCUGAAUGUGUCCACAUAUUUGAAAGGUUACUCUUGUAUUGACAAUAAUAACAUUGUGUUAUUUGGAGAGAAGAUAACAAUUCCAUGUUGGACAAGAAGAGUCUGAAAAGCCCGAAUUAAUUAGAAUUUCAAGAGGAAUAAAAGUAAAACCUAGAGGAUGUUAAAAUACAACAGAGACGCAGCAAGAACACAGAGGAAAAGAAGAACAGAGCCUCACCAUCACUCAACCCGAGUUCCUAUCUCUUCCAUUGUUUCUUCCGUGCUAUCUUUAAUUCUAGUCAUAUUUUCUUUGAUUAUGAAUUUCUAAACUUUUAGCUAGGGCUGAGAUGAAGCCCCUAGUAUGAUUACUCUAUUUCUUUAGUUGAUUUGUUUUUGAAUUUAUGGAUUGCUAUGUUAAAUUCUCAAUCACUGUUUCAAUUGAACUUUUAUUCAAAAUCUUUGCUCGGGAUCAAUAAGACCUAGGUUUUGUUUACUAGUUAUUUGGUUUGAAAACAUGAGGUUUGAUCGAGAGUAGAUGUUUUCUAGGGUUCUAAAGGAUUUAUUUAAUUUUUUGAUUAGAGAGUUGUAAGUUAAGAAUACAAAUGCUUGAUCAUAGUCAAUAUUCUUGUUUACAUGAUUUUCUAGUUCUUUUGUGCUUAAUGGAGUUGAACAUGUUUACUUGAACCUGAUCAUAACGUGAAGUAGAUUAUAGUUUGACUACUUGAGUUUUAUACGGGAUCAAUAAGUUAGAAUUCAUUGGUUAGAAGAACUUUGGCAUAUGUCUGGGAUCAAUAAGACUUAUGUACAGAAAUCUUUAGCAUGCAAUCUAAGAAAUUCAAUUGCUAUCAACUAGAGAGGAGGGUAGGAGUAUUAGGUGGUGGAUUCAAUGCUUUAGCAUCUUUAUAAUUUGUUUUUCAACUCUUAGAAAUUUCAUUGUUCUUUUGUCUUUAAUUUCAGUUUUAUCACUUUAGUUUUCUAUUUUCAUUCAUCAAAAUCAUAAAAUCAGUGUGUUUAUUUCAUUAGGUGUAGUAUAAUUGAUAUAAUAAGUUGUUCUAAUCAAUGCAUAGAGGGAACAACCUCGUGCUUGCACUUCUAUUCUAUAAGUGGUUUGUGCAUUUGCGAGUACUAUAUUAAAACAUACAAUAAGUUUUUGACGCCGUUAGCCAUGGAUUGUGUUAAUUCAAUUUGAUUUGUCAGUUGUGCAAUACUUAAUUCUUGUUUAUUUUCUGUUUUAUUUUUUUUUCCUUUUUUUUUUCUUGUAUUAUUUUUGUUUGUUUUUUCUUGUAUGUUUGAAUUUGGGUUUAUGCAAGGUCGUCGAUCUCAGAACUUAGAUCUCAUUGUCUACGAUCCAGAGAUUGAACGAACUCGUAGAAGACUAUUGAGGCAAGGGCGAGCUCAAGCUCAAGUUCAAGGUGCAAUGGCAGAUGAGGAGACGAAAGCAUUGAAGGAGUUCACUGCUCCUACUGCACUCACAACAUCUUCUUGCAUCGUUGUGGCUCCUAUUCUUGAUGGAGUGCGUUUUGAGAUUAGACAAGCAACAAUUCAGAGCCUACCUAACUUUUAUGGGAAGACUAAUGAAGAUCCUUAUCUACAUGUGGAGGAAUUCAAAGACAUAUGUGAAACUUUCAAGUAUGGGAUAUCAGAUGAGCAUAUUCGUUUGAGGCUUUUCCCAUUCUCUUUGAAAGACAAGGCAAGAAAGUGGUUGAGUUCUCUUCCUUCUAAUUCCAUCGCUACUUGGGAGGAUUUGCUUAAGAAGUUCUUGUUGAAAUUCUUCCCUGCUACAAAGACCAAUGCUCUACAAACAGAGAUUUUUAAUUUCUGUCAACCUGAUGGAGAAUCUUUUUAUGAAGCUUGGGAGCGGUACAAAGAUUUGUUUGUGAGGUGUCCUCACCAUGGAUUUACUAAACCUCAGAAGGCUCAAUUUUUUUUUAUAGAGGUCUGAACUUCCAAAACAGAGGUAUGGUGGAUGCUAUAGUUAGUGGAAGCUUGAUGGGAAGGACAACAGAAGAAGCAAUUCAAGCUUUUGAGACUAUAAAUGAGAAUUCGCAGCAGUAUGAGCCUAGCUUAUGCUUCAGGUCCUAAAAGAGGAGGUCUUUAUGAGGUUAGUGCAAAUACCAAGCUAGAAGAGCAAGUUGCAGCUUUGGCAAGACAAAUGAAAAGCCUUACUCCUCUAUUAAACAAGGAUGCAAAGGAGACAUGUGUCUUGUGUUCUAGUUUUUCACAUACCACAGAAGCUUGUCCAAAACUUCAUGGUGAUGAGGAAGUCAAUAUGGUGAAUAACUACGGAAGGCCAAUGAAUAAUUUCUCUGGCAAUAACUAUAAUUAAUUCGGGUUGGAGACCACAUUCAAAUCGUUUUUAUAGCAACAACAAUCAUGUGCAGAUGCCAAGAAAUAAUCCUCCUAUUCAGAAUUAUCAAGGGCCAAGUGAACAAAGAAACCAUCUCUUGAAGAAACUAUGUAGCAAUUUGCACAAAAUCAGAUAGAAUUUCAAAAGUCCAAUGCUCAGAUGCUUCAAGCUAUUCAAGAGACCAAGAAAGAGCAGCAAGUUCAAUCUCAAGCUAUUUUUAAGUUGGAAGUUCAAGUUGGGUAGAUUGCCAAUGCUUUAAAUGAGAGAGAACAAGGGGGUUUCCCUAGCCAACCUCUUGUUAAUCCGAGGGGUCAAAUUGAGAAGCAUGAGACUAUGAAAGUUGUGAUCACGUUGAGGAGUGGAAAAAAGGUUGAUACCAAUGUUCGUGGCUCAAAAGAUGUUCAAGAAGAAGAGCAACAAGAAGAGUUCGAAACAGAGAUUGAUGAUACUGUUGCUAUCCUAGUAGCUAAUGAAUCAGCAGAGAGGAGCUCCGAAACCAUGAUUGAAGAGGUUAUUUCAAUCCUGAGCAGAAAAACUGAUUAGAAACCAACAACUUCCAGCAAUCCAGUGACGACUUUGAAGCCUCUUGUAGAGUCUCAAUUUGUUCCAAAACCUCCAUACCAGAGCUGCUUCAUAAGCCAAAGAAAGAUAGUCACUUGUCUGAGAUUAUGAAAUUAUUUCGUAAGGUGCAGAUCAAUAUUCCUUUGCUUGAUGUUAUUUAACAAAUUCCAGCUUAUGCAAAGUUUUUGAAAGAUUUAUGCACUAACAAAAAGAGAUUUAAAGACCAUGAGAAGGUGUUGUUGUCAGAAGAGGUUAGUGCAGUGAUUCAAAGGAGACUCCCUCCAAAGUUAAAAGACCCAUGAAGCUUUACUAUACCUUGCACCAUUGGUGAUCAUCACUUUGAGCGUGCUUUGAUGGAUUUGGGUGCUAGUGUCAACUUGAUGUCGUACUCAUUGUUUCUAAAACUAAAGCUUGGUGACUUGCAACCGACAUCCAUGACUUUGCAAUUUGCAAACCGCUUAGUCAAGCGACCGAAAGGAAUUGUGGAAGAUGUGUUGGUGAAGGUUGAUAAGUUCAUAUUGCCUGCAGGUUCUCCAAGCUCACAAAACAGCCAUUGGGAGGCCAUUGCAGACAUUAAAGGUAUUAGUCCUACAAUGGACCACCCAAUGGCUGUUUUGUGAGCUUGGAGAACCUGCAACAGCUUCUUUUCAUCAGUGCGUUUAUUUCAUUAGGUGUAAUAUAAUUGACAUAAUAAGUUGUUCUAGUACUCCACAAGGAUUUAAGUUUGUUACUAUUAUCUGUGCUGGCGCUGAGGGCCUUAGCUGAAACCAGCAUUCACUCUGUUUGUUGACAUAAAGUAUAAUUCGAAUAAGCUGCACAGAUCUUACAGUAUGUUUGAGUUAUGUCAAAAUACACUGCAAAAUAUUUUAGCAAUCUCUGUACUAUUGACUACCUGAGCGUUGUAUCUUUGAAGGCCCACAACUGGAGAUACAAUACUGUCAUCCAUACUAGGAGACUCAAAGUUGGCACUUCUACGAACCAAACAACCAAGCGAAAGGUAAGUCAAAAAUGCUGCUCGGAAGUUACUAUCAGGUAUCCUGUAAAUAGGAUACCAUGCCACAGAGUACCUGAAAAUCAUAUUGCACUUGAAAGUUACAUGCUAUUUAGAAAUUUAAGGACCUCAGGAAAGCUCUCUUUUUGUCUUGUUCACUCAUGUGUCAAUUGCAUUUCCUCUAAAACUCUUUAAAUAGUGAUUAAAAUCAUUUUAGCUAAAAAACUAAUAGCAUGAUUAAUUUACAGUGGGAAGGUAUGAAUCUGUUUGUAUUACUAACCAAGAUCUGGGAUGUAGAUCAUUUAGAUUUAUAGUCUAGUUUAGUUGGAUCGCCAUACACUUUUGAAUGUGAGUUUCCAUCACCUCUAACCAGCUCUUUUAUCCUUAAAUGGAGGGAACACAAUAAGAUCAUCUGAAAGUACUAGUCAAAGUAAAGUUCGUUAGGAUCACCGCAGAUCCAAAAAAUAGAUACUUACAUCUCAGUAUAUGAUUCAUGGGUAGAAUUUUCCAUGAUUCAUUAAGCAACACAAAAGAAAUAUUUGAUUUGUGCACACUAUCUUAAAAGCAUUUCCAGCAGAUAUAUGGAAAAAUAUUCAAACAUAUAAUGAGAGAAUUAACAGUAAAGUAAACUGUGGAUAUAAUAACUUUUUAGAUCUUAGAGUAUAUGGUAUUAUUAUGCACAUUUGCUAUGCACUACUCUAUAUAUGCUCAUAUCAAAAAAUGUCAAACAGUAUGAUAUCCAUCGACUACAAAGUUAAAUAUACUAUUAUAACAAUUUGAAGCACGAAAUUCUAAAAUUUAGGGGUGUCUGCUUACUUGCUGGGAGUGCUCUAUAUAAAUGAGUUUCUCAUUAAAAUGAAAUUUGAGACAGUAGGUAUACACGUAGACAAUUUAUUAGCUUGCCUCUAAAGAAUGGGAGAGGGUCAAUAUAUUAGCCAAGUCUUAAAGAAUUGGUACGGAAUAUAUCGAAGUCUUUACCUGCUUUUGAAUACCAAGGAGUUAUUUAUUCGAAGUUACUACCUGCUUCCAUAGACAUGGCCAAUCCAAGACCAGUUCAGAUGAAUUUCUCUCCAUCUCUUCCAUCUAUAAAUAGGCAUCUGCUCCAUACAAGAUCUUCAUCCACCUCCAGUUCUCUCUUAUACAGAACUAUAACAUAUACUGAGUAUUGCGAUCACGAUGAUGAAAGGUGCUCAUUUCCCUGCUACAACUGCUGCUUUUGCCCUACUGGCAUUGGCAACCUUCCACCUUGUCUCUGCCUCUGAUCCUAGUUCUCUCCAAGAUUUCUGUGUAGCACUUAAGAACACUGAUGGUAUAUACUAUAUCGUACUGUGGUCACUAUAUUGCUUCCAAUAUNNNNNNNNNNNNNNNNNNNNCCCGGAAACACAUCAAAUGCGGUUGGUUCCAAGGUCACCCCGGCGAAUGUGGAGCAAAUAGCAGGGCUGAACACUCUUGGGAUAUCCCUUGCUCGCAUAGACUAUGCACCAAAUGGCGGACUAAACCCUCCUCACACCCACCCUCGGGCCUCGGAGUUUCUUGUGGUCAUGGAAGGCACUCUCUACGUUGGCUUCGUCACAUCCAACUCUGACAACGGCAACAAGCUAUUCACCAAAGUGUUGUACCCUGGAGAUGUGUUUGUCUUCCCGGUUGGUCUUAUUCACUUCCAGUUCAACAUCGGAAAGGUCAAUGCCGUGGCCAUUGCCGGUCUUAGCAGCCAGAACCCAGGUGUCAUCACCAUAGCCAACGCCGUUUUCGGCUCCAAACCUCCGAUCAAGCUUGAUGUUCUCACCAAGGCCUUCCAAGUUGAAAGCAAUGUCGUUGAGUAUCUCCAGAACCAGUUCUGGUAUGACAACAACUAGGAACAUGCUAACAAUUGUAUCACGAAACGAUGGCCUUACAUAUCAUACAACAC
Molecule: long non-coding RNA, 11708 nt
Filed under: Fragaria vesca (wild strawberry)
Lineage: Eukaryota; Viridiplantae; Streptophyta; Magnoliopsida; Rosales; Rosaceae
Description: long non-coding RNA (FVES_LNC002291)
Source: RNAcentral